AUUGAACGCUGGCGGUAGGCCUAACACAUGCAAGUCGAACGCGAAAGUCCUUCGGGAUGAGUAGAGUGGCGGACGGGUGAGUAACGCGUAGGAAUCUAUCCUGUAGUGGGGGAGUAACGUUUCGAAAGGAACGCUAAUACCGCAUACGCCCAACGGGGGAAAGGACGGGGGAGUCUUCGGACCUCGUGCUAUAGGAGGAGCCUGCGUCGGAUUAGCUAGUUGGUGAGGUAAAGGCUCACCAAGGCGACGAUCCGUAGCUGGUCUGAGAGGAUGAUCAGCCACACCGGAACUGAGACACGGUCCGGACUCCUACGGGAGGCAGCAGUGGGGAAUAUUGCGCAAUGGGCGAAAGCCUGACGCAGCCAUACCGCGUGUGUGUAGAAGGCCUUCGGGUUGUAAGCACUUCAGUGGGGAGGAAAAGGACUGGUGGC
Molecule: ribosomal RNA, 431 nt
Filed under: uncultured bacterium
Lineage: Bacteria
Description: bacterial SSU rRNA
Rfam family: Bacterial small subunit ribosomal RNA
Source: RNAcentral